RNAcentral lists this transfer RNA (67 nucleotides) under Cricetulus griseus (Chinese hamster). It matches the Rfam family "tRNA". From Rfam's summary of the family: Transfer RNA (tRNA) molecules are approximately 80 nucleotides in length. Their secondary structure includes four short double-helical elements and three loops (D, anti-codon, and T loops). Further hydrogen bonds mediate the characteristic L-shaped molecular structure. tRNAs have two regions of fundamental functional importance: the anti-codon, which is responsible for specific mRNA codon recognition, and the 3' end, to which the tRNAs corresponding amino acid is attached (by aminoacyl-tRNA synthetases). tRNAs cope with the degeneracy of the genetic code in two manners: having more than one tRNA (with a specific anti-codon) for a particular amino acid; and 'wobble' base-pairing, i.e. permitting non-standard base-pairing at the 3rd anti-codon position. The record is from Rfam by way of RNAcentral. Lineage: Eukaryota; Metazoa; Chordata; Mammalia; Rodentia; Cricetidae.
GGAGAUGACUCAGUGGUAGAGUACUUGCCUUGCAUGUGGAAGGACCUGGAUUUGAUUUCCAGCUCCG